This 465-nucleotide ribosomal RNA is filed under the name Vreelandella stevensii. RNAcentral's name for it is "partial 16S ribosomal RNA". It matches the Rfam family "Bacterial small subunit ribosomal RNA", at positions 338 to 795 of the family's 1533-position model. Lineage: Bacteria; Pseudomonadati; Pseudomonadota; Gammaproteobacteria; Oceanospirillales; Halomonadaceae. The record is from RNAcentral.
UCUACGGGAGGCAGCAGUGGGGAAUAUUGGACAAUGGGCGAAAGCCUGAUCCAGCCAUGCCGCGUGUGUGAAGAAGGCCUUCGGGUUGUAAAGCACUUUCAGUGGGGAAGAAAGCCUUGGGGCUAAUACCCUCGAGGAAGGACAUCACCCACAGAAGAAGCACCGGCUAACUCCGUGCCAGCAGCCGCGGUAAUACGGAGGGUGCGAGCGUUAAUCGGAAUUACUGGGCGUAAAGCGCGCGUAGGCGGUCUGAUAAGCCGGUUGUGAAAGCCCCGGGCUCAACCUGGGAACGGCAUCCGGAACUGUCAGGCUAGAGUGCAGGAGAGGAGGGUAGAAUUCCCGGUGUAGCGGUGAAAUGCGUAGAGAUCGGGAGGAAUACCAGUGGCGAAGGCGGCCUUCUGGACUGACACUGACGCUGAGGUGCGAAAGCGUGGGUAGCAAACAGGAUUAGAUACCCUUGUAGUC